RNAcentral lists this ribosomal RNA (492 nucleotides) under uncultured bacterium. RNAcentral describes it as "partial 16S ribosomal RNA". It matches the Rfam family "Bacterial small subunit ribosomal RNA", at positions 29 to 507 of the family's 1533-position model. The record is from RNAcentral.
AGUGAACGCUGGCGGUAGGCCUAACACAUGCAAGUCGAACGGCAGCACAGUAAGAGCUUGCUCUUACGGGUGGCGAGUGGCGGACGGGUGAGGAAUACAUCGGAAUCUACUUUCUCGUGGGGGAUAACGUAGGGAAACUUACGCUAAUACCGCAUACGACCUACGGGUGAAAGCGGGGGAUCUUCGGACCUUGCGCGAUUGAAUGAGCCGAUGUCGGAUUAGCUAGUUGGCGGGGUAAAGGCCCACCAAGGCGACGAUCCGUAGCUGGUCUGAGAGGAUGAUCAGCCACACUGGAACUGAGACACGGUCCAGACUCCUACGGGAGGCAGCAGUGGGGAAUAUUGGACAAUGGGCGCAAGCCUGAUCCAGCCAUACCGCGUGGGUGAAGAAGGCCUUCGGGUUGUAAAGCCCUUUUGUUGGGAAAGAAAAGCAGCAGGUUAAUACCCCGCUGUUCUGACGGUACCCAAAGAAUAAGCACCGGCUAACUUCGUG